UAGGGAAUCUUCCGCAAUGGGCGAAAGCCUGACGGAGCAACGCCGCGUGAGUGAUGAAGGUCUUCGGAUCGUAAAACUCUGUUAUUAGGGAAGAACAAAUGUGUAAGUAACUAUGCACGUCUUGACGGUACCAAAUCAGAAAGCCACGGCUAACUACGUGCCAGCAGCCGCGGUAAUACGUAGGUGGCAAGCGUUAUCCGGAAUUAUUGGGCGUAAAGCGCGCGUAGGCGGUUUUUUAAGUCUGAUGUGAAAGCCAACGGCUCAACCGUGGAGGGUCAUUGGAAACUGGAAAACUUGAGUGCAGAAGAGGAAAGUGGAAUUCCAUGUGUAGCGGUGAAAGGCGCAGAGAUAUGGAGAAACACCAGUGGCGAAGGCGACUUUCUGGUCUGUAACUGACGCUGAUGUGCGAAAGCGUGGGGAUCAAACAGG
This 429-nucleotide ribosomal RNA is filed under the name Acidobacteriota bacterium. RNAcentral's name for it is "Acidobacteria bacterium partial 16S ribosomal RNA". It matches the Rfam family "Bacterial small subunit ribosomal RNA", at positions 355 to 776 of the family's 1533-position model. The record is from RNAcentral. Lineage: Bacteria; Pseudomonadati; Acidobacteriota.